Molecule: ribosomal RNA, 253 nt
Filed under: uncultured bacterium
Lineage: Bacteria
Description: partial 16S ribosomal RNA
Rfam family: Bacterial small subunit ribosomal RNA
Source: RNAcentral
UACGGGGGGGGUAAGCGUUGUUCGGAAUUACUGGGCGUAAAGGGCUCGUAGGCGGCCAACUAAGUCAUACGUGAAAUCCCUCAGCUUAACUGGGGAACUGCGUGUGAUACUGGAUGGCUUGGAUUUGGGAGAGGGAUGCGGAAUUCCAGGUGUAGCGGUGAAAUGCGUAGAUAUCUGGAGGAACACCGGUGGCGAAGGCGGCUACCUGGACAAUUGCUGACGCUCAGGCACGAAAGCGUGGGGAGCAAAAGGG